This 1051-nucleotide long non-coding RNA is filed under the name Homo sapiens (human). RNAcentral's name for it is "non-protein coding lnc-CLDN9-1:5". The record is from RNAcentral. Lineage: Eukaryota; Metazoa; Chordata; Mammalia; Primates; Hominidae.
GCCCUGGGCUGGCGGCCGCAACCGGGGUGGCGGCCGCAGCCAAGCUGGCGGCGCGGCUGCCCCGCUCCAGCUCGCACCCGCGGCUCGCCCGCGCCCGCGCCCACUCGCGAUUGGGCCGGGCCCGCUCGACGCUGCCGCCCACCCCGCUGCCCCCGCCGUCCCUGCCGCACCCGCCGUUGCCCGGCCUGCCGCCCGGCCUGAGCCCCGGGCCGCCGACGCCCUCCGCUCUCGCCCUGGCCGAGCUGCCACCGCUGCCCGCGCUCCCGCUGCGGCCCGAGCCGCUGGCGCCCUGGGGCCCCGGCGCGCAUCUGGCACUGCCCGAGCUGCCGCCCGAAGCCUGCUCACCCGCGCUCUCCGCCGCCGUGCUCGCACUGCAGGACCUGCCGCGCCUGCCCGCGCCCGCGCGCUCCGCCCGCGCUCCUACCGCUGCUUCCGCUGCCCGUGUCCGCCGUCGCCUCAGCCCCUGGGCCCGUGGGCGCGCUCGUCCGCCCGCCCCUGGUCUCCGAGCCGCCGCCGCAUCCGCUUCCGCCGCUGCCCGCGCGACCCUCUCCCUUCAGCCUGCUGACGGCCCCCGAGACCCGCGACCCAUGGCUGCUGUCCGCCUUUCCCCUGCCACCGCCCGUGCCCCUGUCCCCGCAUUUCUUCCUGUCGCCGCCCUGCUGACCUGGCCCCUCCCGCGGCGGGUGAGUAGGCAGCCCCCGACAGGGCCAGUGCCCGUAGCCACCUUCCCCGGGCAUGGAUUCAGAGGACGGGGGUUAGAGCCCAGUUUGGGGAAGAGAGAAGGAGAAUCGGAAGCAGCUCAGGUUUGGUAGAGAAAGGAGCGAGUCUGAAAAUAGACUUGUCUAAAGAUUCGGGUCUUCCAUUUUCCCCUGCUGCCCUCCAGCAGGCCUCUUGCUAGGUUAUUUGAGAAUGUAACCCGUCCCCUGGGCUGAUAACCUGGCUAGUGAUCAGGGCAGCGGGCGGGGCCCACAGCACGUGUCCAAGGAAAUGGGGAUCAAGGGUAUGAAAACAAAAGUUUAAAGUGCUGGGCCGGGCGCGGUGGCUCCCGCCU